Molecule: transfer RNA, 72 nt
Filed under: Paralemanea sp.
Lineage: Eukaryota; Rhodophyta; Florideophyceae; Batrachospermales; Lemaneaceae
Description: tRNA-Cys
Rfam family: tRNA
About the family: Transfer RNA (tRNA) molecules are approximately 80 nucleotides in length. Their secondary structure includes four short double-helical elements and three loops (D, anti-codon, and T loops).
Source: RNAcentral
GGCUAGAUAGCAAAAUGGUUAUGCGCAAGAUUGCAAAUCUUGAAAACAUCGGUUCGAAUCCGAUUCUAGCUU